RNAcentral lists this long non-coding RNA (478 nucleotides) under Mytilus galloprovincialis (Mediterranean mussel). Lineage: Eukaryota; Metazoa; Mollusca; Bivalvia; Mytilida; Mytilidae. The record is from RNAcentral.
CUCAAAACUGUAUGAUUAGUACCUUUGUAAAUAAUGCCUUUUACUUUUAAUAUUCUUAGGAUGUAUUGUGUACUGUGUUUUUUUAUCAUGUUUAUUUCAUGCAUGCAAACAAUUCGAUUGGGGGUAUUGCUGUACAUCUAAAAGACAAUAAACAAAUCUUGUUUCAUAUCAUUGUGUAACCAGCCUAAUCCGACACCUGAGUAUUCAAACAUCCUGCUUUAACCGACACAUUUUCAUGGUCCCAAAAUAUGCCAAUCUUGCCGAAAAAACCUCAGUAUCUCGAGUCCUUGCUUAAUCCGACAUUUUUUCUGCCCCCCCCCCCCCCCCCCCCCCGUUUUGUCGGAUAACACAGGUUACACUGUAUCUUCAUUAAAAUACACCACGAUACCCAAAUCGGAUUAACAUGGUUUUUGAUCUCGUCUACUCAAAACUCUACAAAUCAAGAUAUAUAAUGAAAUAUGAGAUUUUUUUCUGGUCC